AUUGAACGCUGGCGGCAGGCCUAACACAUGCAAGUCGAACGGUAACAGGAAACAGCUUGCUGAUUCGCUGACGAGUGGCGGACGGGUGAGUAAUGUCUGGGAAACUGCCUGAUGGAGGGGGAUAACUACUGGAAACGGUAGCUAAUACCGCAUAACGUCGCAAGACCAAAGAGGGGGACCCUCGGGCCCCUUGCCAUCGGAUGUGCCCAGAUGGGAUUAGCUUGUUGGUGGGGUAACGGCUCACCAAGGCGACGAUCCCUAGCUGGUCUGAGAGGAUGACCAGCCACACUGGAACUGAGACACGGUCCAGACUCCUACGGGAGGCAGCAGUGGGGAAUAUUGCACAAUGGGCGCAAGCCUGAUGCAGCCAUGCCGCGUGUAUGAAGAAGGCCUUCGGGUUGUAAAGUACUUUCAGCGGGGAGGAAGGGAGUAAAGUUAAUACCUUGGCUCAUUGACGUUACCCGCAGAAGAAGCACCGGCUAACUCCGUG
This 490-nucleotide ribosomal RNA is filed under the name uncultured bacterium. Its description in RNAcentral is "partial 16S ribosomal RNA". It matches the Rfam family "Bacterial small subunit ribosomal RNA", at positions 30 to 507 of the family's 1533-position model. The record is from RNAcentral.